RNAcentral lists this ribosomal RNA (223 nucleotides) under uncultured bacterium. RNAcentral describes it as "partial 16S ribosomal RNA". It matches the Rfam family "Bacterial small subunit ribosomal RNA", at positions 131 to 353 of the family's 1533-position model. The record is from RNAcentral.
CUUUACUCGGGGAUAGCCUUUCGAAAGAAAGAUUAAUACCCGAUAGCAUAAUGAUUCCGCAUGGUUUCAUUAUUAAAGGAUUCCGGUAAAGGAUGGGGAUGCGUUCCAUUAGGUUGUUGGUGAGGUAACGGCUCACCAAGCCUUCGAUGGAUAGGGGUUCUGAGAGGAAGGUCCCCCACAUUGGAACUGAGACACGGUCCAAACUCCUACGGGAGGCAGCAUG